AAAUAGACCAUCUAUUUGGUAGGAUUUUCUGCCAUCCAACUACUAGUCACUCUCUUAUUGCUAUAGUCAUUAGAGAAAGGUUCCUUUUUUUAUAGUUAUAAAAUCAUCAUUGUCGACCAUCAAAUUGGCGGUAAAGAAAAAGAUAAGUUCCUCAAGUGGAGAGUCCUCUUCCAAGAGGGCGAGAAAUGAUCAGCUUUAGCUUUCUGCUUCUGGUCGAGUCCCAUCUCCCCCCAAGGCAUCGGAUGGGUCAGCGAGGCUCAGGAGGAAAACUCUUCUGCUUGUAAGUAGGGUGGAGCUCACCAGGACUACAAUGGAAGUUCUCAUUGAGGCCAGGCUCUGAUGCAUUAAGGAGUACAAAGUCUUGAUGGACUUUGAGAAAGAGCUUGUCAAGCAUCAUCAGCCGUAUUCAUCUAGGACUUCGAGAACUAUAAGGUGUGCCUGAAGGAGAUGGUCUCGAAGCUGGAUUUGAGGUGCCUCCACCCAAGCAACAAUGAUGAGA
This 499-nucleotide long non-coding RNA is filed under the name Elaeis guineensis (African oil palm). RNAcentral describes it as "long non-coding RNA (EGUI_LNC032338)". Lineage: Eukaryota; Viridiplantae; Streptophyta; Magnoliopsida; Arecales; Arecaceae. The record is from RNAcentral.